RNAcentral lists this ribosomal RNA (404 nucleotides) under Verrucomicrobiota bacterium. RNAcentral's name for it is "Verrucomicrobia bacterium partial 16S ribosomal RNA". It matches the Rfam family "Bacterial small subunit ribosomal RNA", at positions 355 to 776 of the family's 1533-position model. The record is from RNAcentral. Lineage: Bacteria; Pseudomonadati; Verrucomicrobiota.
UGGGGAAUAUUGCACAAUGGGCGCAAGCCUGAUGCAGCAACGCCGCGUGAACGAUGAAGGUCUUCGGAUCGUAAAGUUCUGUUGCAGGGGAAGAUAAUGACGGUACCCUGUGAGGAAGCCCCGGCUAACUUCGUGCCAGCAGCCGCGGUAAUACGAAGGGGGCUAGCGUUGUUCGGAUUUACUGGGCGUAAAGCGCACGUAGGCGGACUAUUAAGUCAGGGGUGAAAUCCCGGGGCUCAACCCCGGAACUGCCUUUGAUACUGGUAGUCUUGAGUUCGAGAGAGGUGAGUGGAAUUCCGAGUGUAGAGGUGAAAUUCGUAGAUAUUCGGAGGAACACCAGUGGCGAAGGCGGCUCACUGGCUCGAUACUGACGCUGAGGUGCGAAAGCGUGGGGAGCAAACAGG